RNAcentral lists this ribosomal RNA (406 nucleotides) under uncultured bacterium. Its description in RNAcentral is "partial 16S ribosomal RNA". It matches the Rfam family "Bacterial small subunit ribosomal RNA", at positions 28 to 526 of the family's 1533-position model. The record is from RNAcentral.
GUCGAACUCUGCCGGCGUGCUUAACACCUGCAAGUCGAACGAGUGGCGAACGGGUGAGUAAUACGUGGGUAACUUGCGCUCCCUCCGGGAUAAGCCUUGGUAACGGCGUCUAAUACAGCAUACUGCGGGAUGGGCCGGCGGCCUAGCAGCGUGCUGGUGGGGUGAUGGCUUCCCAAGGCGGUGACGGGUAGCCGGCUGGCGAGGGUGACCGGCCACAGUGGGACUGAGAUACGGCCCAGACUCCUACGGGAGGUAGCAGUGGGGGAUAUGGCACAAGGGGCGAAAGCCUGAUGCAGCGACGCCGCGUGGGGGAUGAAGGCUUUCGGGUUGUAAUCCUCUUUCGCGAUCGAACGGGUAGGUGGAGGAGAAGCGCCGGCUAACUACGGGCCAGCAGCCGCGGUAAUAC